This 128-nucleotide small RNA is filed under the name Actinoplanes sp. Its description in RNAcentral is "c-di-AMP sequence". It matches the Rfam family "c-di-AMP riboswitch aptamer (ydaO/yuaA leader)". From Rfam's summary of the family: This family represents a conserved RNA structure found upstream of the ydaO and yuaA genes in Bacillus subtilis and related genes in other bacteria. Lineage: Bacteria; Bacillati; Actinomycetota; Actinomycetes; Micromonosporales; Micromonosporaceae. RNAcentral also lists the same sequence under 1 other name. The record is from RNAcentral.
CGGCCAACGCCGCUGAAUCUCACGAGCCGGGGACCCAUCUUUCCGGGGUGAAUCCGCCACGCGCGGUAGGACGCCUCUUCCGAGUCCGAACCCGUCAGCUAACCCGGUAAGCGGCCAUGAGCGGAAGA